GCUGGGCAUGGUGGCUCAUGCCUGUAGUCCCAGCUACUUGGGAGGCUGAGGCAGGAGAAUCGCUUGAACCUGGGAGGCGGAGGUUGCAGUGAGCUGAGAUCGCGCCACUGUACUCCAGCCUGGGUGACAGAGCGAGACUCCGUCUCAA
Molecule: non-coding RNA, 148 nt
Filed under: Nomascus leucogenys (northern white-cheeked gibbon)
Lineage: Eukaryota; Metazoa; Chordata; Mammalia; Primates; Hylobatidae
Source: Rfam by way of RNAcentral